CCUACGGGAGGCAGCAGUGAGGAAUAUUGGUCAAUGGACGCAAGUCUGAACCAGCCAUGCCGCGUGCAGGAAGACGGCUCUAUGAGUUGUAAACUGCUUUUGUACGAGGGUAAACGCAGAUACGCGUAUCUGUCUGAAAGUAUCGUACGAAUAAGGAUCGGCUAACUCCGUGCCAGCAGCCGCGGUAAUACGGAGGAUUCAAGCGUUAUCCGGAUUUAUUGGGUUUAAAGGGUGCGUAGGCGGUCGGAUAAGUUAGAGGUGAAAUCCCGAGGCUCAACGUCGGAACUGCCUCUGAUACUGUUCGUCUAGAGAGUAGUUGCGGUAGGCGGAAUGUAUGGUGUAGCGGUGAAAUGCUUAGAGAUCAUACAGAACACCGAUUGCGAAGGCAGCUUACCAAGCUACUUCUGACGUUGAGGCACGAAAGCGUGGGGAGCAAACAGGAUUAGAUACCCCAGUAGUC
This 460-nucleotide ribosomal RNA is filed under the name uncultured bacterium. RNAcentral describes it as "partial 16S ribosomal RNA". It matches the Rfam family "Bacterial small subunit ribosomal RNA", at positions 338 to 795 of the family's 1533-position model. The record is from RNAcentral.